ACAGUUUUGCAGCAAGACGCGGGAGUUACUGCUUGUGUCGGCCUGGUCCGAGCCAAGCACUUCGGCUGUGGUGACCCCUGCGAAUUCCCCAAAUGUGGGAAUCUCGACUGCAUAAUUUCUGGUAGUGGGGGGCUGCGUUCGCGGUCUCCCCUG
The sequence is a small nuclear RNA, 153 nucleotides long. Its record names the gene U1. It matches the Rfam family "U1 spliceosomal RNA". From Rfam's summary of the family: U1 is a small nuclear RNA (snRNA) component of the spliceosome (involved in pre-mRNA splicing). Its 5' end forms complementary base pairs with the 5' splice junction, thus defining the 5' donor site of an intron. The record is from Ensembl.